CAGAGUUUAGCUGGUUGAGAAAACUCCCAAUGAAAUCCUUCAUCAAGUUAGGUGGUGGAGGACUGAUAACGACACCCUGAAGGAAUACAGCUUCCAGUUUCCACUUAAAGUGACCUUAGACUGGCUGAAAUGUACUUAAUACAAGAAAGGAAUUGGGCUGAAUUGACUCCAUUUCUCAAAAAUAUACAAUUUCAAGAUGAGAUCUCUCUGUAAACUGCAUAUCUUUCAUAACAUCUGUGUAAAGCAGGACUGGAUGAUCCUGUUGAGGGCCCCAGGGAAGUUUACUGCAGUCUGUACAUGCUAACACUAUCUGGCUUCAGGUUUUCUAUGUGUCACUUUGAUUGUAUUCAUUUGAUUAAACGCAACUUUAUUUAGCAAUAUGCACAAAUAGAGAGUAAAAUAAUACAGCUCAUAAAACUAAAUUUUGACACUCUUAAAGACACUCAGGUUGAUGGCACUGCAAUGGACUGUACUGCACCCUCAUAACAAAAUAAGCCUUUAAAGCUGUAGUAGGUCAUUUUAAGUCAUAUUUGUUCUUUCACUAUAUCCUGACAGUAGUACAUGAUACAGAUAAUCUGUGAAAAAGGCCACUCUGGCUCAUCUUGGUCCAGUUUGUUGUGGCAUUAGCAAGAAUCCACUGUAUCUGAAAGAAAACAACCAAUCAGAGCCAAGAAAGAUAGUUUCAAGAGUCUCAAGAAUCAGCAAUCAAUUAUCUUCAACCCGCCAAUCCAGUGUCUGUAUUUGAUGACUUAGGAGUGAGACUCAACAAUCAACUAUCUUUCUUGAUUCCAGAAUAAGUCUACCAUGUACUGCACCUGUUUCCAACGGCAUCUUACGAACAGGUCAUUCUUAUCAAAGACUCCAGGGGGCAGAAUUGGCUUGGUGUUUAAGAGCCAGAUGUGGUUUGGGGUAAGCGGUUCAACGACUGUUCAAGAUAACCUCUACUACACACAAUAGAGUUUGCAGCCUCUCUUCAUCUAGAGUCUGCUGUUUCAAAACAGAAUGGAGCACCUGCCGAACAGAUCUUAUGAGAUGCUCCCAUACUCCUCCAUGGUGGAAUGCUCCUAGGGGGUUGAAACUGCACUGUAUCAUGGUGAAAGCAAGGCUCUUUGAAUCCUGUGCAGAGAGGGCUUCUCUCAUUUCCCUCUGGGCCCCAACAAAAUUAGUCCCAUUGUUGGACCUAAUAUGCUUUGCUUGUCCUCUUAUACAAAUGAACUGUCUCAAGGCAUUGAGACAUGAGUCUGUGUCAAGGGAGUUGCCCUAAUAGUCAUGCAAGUGAAUAACACGCCAUAGCUCUUCAAUAUGGUACGUCCUAAAUAAUAAUCAACACCAAACGUUGGUAAAUGGGGGCGAAUCUGGCUCAAGCCUUUUUCUGUGGCAUUCACCUAUUGUUUUCCUUACUGCUGAGUUGGCUUUGAUUAUCCAAUAUCUUUUGCCAACCUCAGACAAAAUGUGGGUUCUUCCCCCAUGUCCAGUCUUUUCAUGCAUGUGUCAAUUUUUGUCUCUUCCAGCAUAGCUGCCCUACUCAGGCGUCCUCCACUCUGAGCACACCAUCCUUUGACACUGGGUCGAGCUUAUAGAUGUUACUUGUCUUUUUGACACCAUUUGUCACCACUUGCAAUAUUUCCUCUGGAAAGUACUGCUUUUGGGUUUGACAGAUGAUUGUGUUCUCUGCCUUCUCUAGAUCUUUCAGACAAAUGAUCUGUUUACCCAAUGUGGCUUUGACACUUUUCCUUUUCUGGUCAGAAACAUUGCCGCUGCCUCCAGUGCUUGUAUUUCAGCCACUUGCAGUGGAAUGAAACUCUCUGCUUCUGUGCGACAGCAGUUUCAACAUUUCUUUGAGCUUCAGAAACCAUGCUACUGCAACCUUCAGUGUACUCCAGCUGGAGAAUGCAUGAGGGGCUUGUCUGUAGGAUUCUCAUUGCUUACAGUAGAGUUUCUUUUGACUUUUCUGACCACCACAGUAUAUCAUCCCAGAUUCUUCAUAAAUGUGUCUGCAUUCUUCCCCCUAGAGGGGGCAUCAGUAGGAUUUCGCUUUGGGUUCACGUAUCUCUGAUGAUAUGGUAAAUGGUAAAUGGACCUGUACUUGUAUAGCGCCUUUCUAGUCUUCUGACCACUCAAAGUGCUUUUACACUACGUGCCACAUUCACCCUUUCACACACAUUCCUCCAGUGAUGGCAAAGUCCAUCGAACAGAAACUAACAAUCAUACACAUUCACACAGCGAUGCACGGCAUCGGGAGCAAUUUGGGGUUCAGUAUCUUGCUCAAGGAUACUUCGACAUGUGGCACCAGGAGCCGGGUAUCGAACCCACAACCUUCCUCUGAGCCGUAGCCGCCGGAUAUCUCCCUGAUAAUGGAGAUCCUGUUAGCAAUAAAUGUGUGGAACCUCGGAGUACUUUAUCCACUCUAGUGGCCAAUACCUGCAGCAGCCAGCUCCAUCUGGAGUGUAUUCUUCUUGAGGGGAGCCACUUUUCUCAUCAUCAUUAAUGAAACAUGAAGGGUGUUUUGUCAUUCAUCACUCUCAAAUAGCCAACAAACCUUGCGCACUUAGUUGUGCCUGCAUGUGUCAGCCAAAGUCGUUGGGUGUGAGGCAUCUUCUCACCUUGAAGUCAGUGAUCCUCAGGAUCUUCCAUUUAACCCACAGUUCAGAGAACAUCUUGGGUACUUCCUCCUCCAUAGUUCAGUUUACAUAGCUCCUUUAGCAGUUUAGCAGGCAGAGUGAAGGUAGUCCACCACUAAAUCCUUUAUAAUGUUUUUUUCUGCGCGUUAUCUGUCCAAGAUAAAUUCAAGAUUAGAUUAAUUUAAUUAAUAAUAAUUAAUUUCCACUUCUAAAUCAAUAUGAAUACUUCAGCAGACUUGCGUUUAGCAUCUUUCUGUUGCAGUCACAUCAUUCCAAUCCCGGUAUGAAGUAUUAAAUUAGGCGCAGGGAUGCAUUGUAAUUUCCUUGCACUGACAAUCCGAAUAAAUUAAUAACAAUCCAACGUGGAGUAAAAUUCAUUCAUUUCUACUUCUGAUUCUGAUUCUGAUAAAAAUCAUCUCCUUCGUCUUGCUGGUGUUUAACUGAAGCUGGUUGAGCUCACACCAGCUGACAAAGUCCCUGAUGACCGUCCUAUGUUCCAGUUCGUUCCCCUCAUAAACACAUCCACCAAUGGCUCGCUCUUCCAUUUCUUCCAUCAAAAUUCUCUCCUUGCUUUUACAAAUGUUGCAUAAAAAAACAACCACUAAAUUAUUAUUGUAAACAAAAAAUAAUAAGUAAUAAUAAUAAUAAAUAAAAAAUAAGUAAGCAGAUUUAGAGAUGACAUGCAAGCUGCACAGUCUAAAGACUGUCAGCCACAGCACUGGCUCGCAUCUUCCUGCAGGGUUACACACAGUAUUAAUAAACACACACACAAUACAAAAUGGCCAAUAUAAGAAGUGAUACAUUAAAAUAUAUGAAUAAAAUAAAAUGGGCUCCUACAUUAUUCAUUUAUUCUUAUAUAUUUGGGGGGGUCUGUAAUAGGUUUGCUUCAGUUGUGAGACCAUCCUCUGUGAAUGUGUAUUUGUUUUAAAAUAAAUAAAAACUGAUUUGAAAAGAAAAGAAAUGGCUUUCAUGUAAAAGGCUUUGCACUCUGUAUCUGCAGCAUGUUAUUUGAUGGGAGUGAUGGUUGAGCUGGAAUAAAAACACAACUGCCAGUUUGGAUGAGAUAAA
Molecule: long non-coding RNA, 3689 nt
Organism: Dicentrarchus labrax (European seabass)
Lineage: Eukaryota; Metazoa; Chordata; Actinopteri; Moronidae
Exons: 2
Source: RefSeq, a predicted model, not a curated record